CACAGCGGUGUUUGAAACACAAACACACUCCCACACAGAGAGGGAACCAAUGUCCUGCUGUCACAAACACACGCACGCACACACACACACACAAACAUACAUACACAUUUUAGAAUACUUAAAUAUAAGUAUUCUAAAGCUGUACAAUUUGUGUAAGGAACAGACUGAAAUUUAAGCCGUUAUUCACUGAAAUUCAGUUUCUCUGCUGCUUUAGAUUGGCUGACUGGAGUUGUAAGGUUGCCGUGCUGCUUCUGAUUGGCUGACUGGAGUUGUGAGAUUGCUGUGCUGCCUCUGAUUGGCUGACUGGAGUUGUAAGGUUGCCGUGCUGCUUCUGAUUGGCUGACUGGUGUUGUGAGGUUGCGUGCUGCCUCUGAUUGGCUGACUGGAGUUGUAAGGUUGCCGUGUUCCCUCUGAUUGGCUAAGUGGAGUUGUAAGGUUGCCGUGCUGCUUCUGAUUGGCUGACUGGAGUUGUAAGGUUGCCGUGUUCCCUCUGAUUGGCUAAGUGGAGUUGUAAGGUUGCCGUGUUCCCUCUGAUUGGCUAAGUGGAGUUGUAAGGUUGCCGUGUUCCCUCUGAUUGGCUAAGUGGAGUUGUAAGGUUGCCGUUUUCCAUCUGAUUGGCUGACAGGUGGUGUGAGGUUGCUGUGGCACUGCCAGGUUCUAGCCAACCGUGAGUGGCAGACCUCCAGUUCUGAGAGGAAACACCACACUGUGUGUGUGGG
Xyrauchen texanus (razorback sucker) is the source of this 719-nucleotide long non-coding RNA. RefSeq lists it as uncharacterized. The transcript is spliced from 4 exons. NCBI's taxonomy places the organism in Eukaryota, Metazoa, Chordata, Actinopteri, Cypriniformes, Catostomidae. The record is from RefSeq and is a predicted model, not a curated record.